UACGAAGGGGGCUAGCGUUGCUCGGAAUCACUGGGCGUAAAGGGUGUGUAGGCGGUUGUUUAAGUUUGGUGUGAAAUCUCCCGGCUCAACUGGGAGGGUGCGCCGAAUACUGAAUGACUUGGAGUGCGGGAGAGGAGAGUGGAAUUCCUGGUGUAGCGGUGAAAUGCGCAGAUAUCAGGAGGAACACCGGUGGCGAAGGCGGAUCUCUGGGCCAUAACUGACGCUGAGGAGCGAAAGCAUGGGGAGCGAACAGG
Molecule: ribosomal RNA, 254 nt
Filed under: uncultured bacterium
Lineage: Bacteria
Description: partial 16S ribosomal RNA
Rfam family: Bacterial small subunit ribosomal RNA
Source: RNAcentral